UGCGUCAAGGGCGGAAGAAGAGGCGGAGGAUCUAGAUCUGGCUGCACCGCGUGGGACUCGUAGCUGGAAUGGGAGGGAGAACGCGAAUCUCGGCCGUGAUGCACUGCGGGGAAGAAGAUGAACAGUGGAGUUUUUAUCUUUUAUAUUUUUUUUGUAACACUAUUCAUAUGAACAGUGUUUUCACGGAACACUGUUCAUAUGAACAGUGAAUCUAGUAAUUUUUCUUGAAAUUAUUGUGGAUAUUUAACUAUUAUUUUUUUGUUUUUAAAAUUAUAAAUUUUAUAUGAAGGCAGGUAAGAAAUUGGUUGGGAAUUGGCUUUGGAUUUGAGGUGGGUCAUGAUUGUUGAUUUGCUUGAACUUGUUCUCGAGCCCAAUGUCAUUUAAAUUUAAUUCUUGCUAAAUUGCUUCAGACCGGACUCGACAAGACUAAAAACAGGAUCGUGACUUAAUAAAAAGGGUUAAUCAAACCUUUUUCUCCAUACAAAAAUAAUUAUCUAAUCAGGACCAAAACCUAUUUAAUCAUAGCUUUAACUUGGUUACAACUCCAUCAGGUUACUAAACCAGGUCAACACAACCUUGUGGAGU
RNAcentral lists this long non-coding RNA (585 nucleotides) under Phoenix dactylifera (date palm). RNAcentral's name for it is "long non-coding RNA (PDAC_LNC010834)". The record is from RNAcentral. Lineage: Eukaryota; Viridiplantae; Streptophyta; Magnoliopsida; Arecales; Arecaceae.